UCAGGGGGCCAAGGCAGCCGCGGGCGCUCGCAAGAGUGCGCGAGGAAAGUCCGGGCUCCACGAAACAAGGGUGGCGGGUAACGCCCGCCGGGCUGCGGAGCUGCCUCAGCAAUGGGUGCGCCGAGCGGUCAAGGGAGAGUGCCACAGAGAGUAAACCGCCUCUCAACGGAGGUAAGGGUGAAAGGGUGCGGUAAGAGCGCACCGCGCGAGCAGCAAUGUGAGCGGCAUGGUAAACCCCACCCGGAGCAAGGCCAAAUAGGGGCGGCGCGCCGAGCAAUUGGCAGAUGCGUUUCGUAUCGACCGCCCGGGUUGGCUGCUUGAGCGGCGGAGCAAUCCGCCGCCUAGAGGAAUGGCUGCCCAUGCGGGGCUGGUGUUUUCAUACCGCCUGCAGGACAGAACCCGGCUUAACAGGCCCCCUGACGAC
This 424-nucleotide RNase P RNA is filed under the name Sphingomonadaceae bacterium. RNAcentral describes it as "RNase P RNA component class A". It matches the Rfam family "Bacterial RNase P class A". From Rfam's summary of the family: Ribonuclease P (RNase P) is a ubiquitous endoribonuclease, found in archaea, bacteria and eukarya as well as chloroplasts and mitochondria. Its best characterised activity is the generation of mature 5'-ends of tRNAs by cleaving the 5'-leader elements of precursor-tRNAs. Lineage: Bacteria; Pseudomonadati; Pseudomonadota; Alphaproteobacteria; Sphingomonadales; Sphingomonadaceae. The record is from RNAcentral.